Molecule: transfer RNA, 74 nt
Filed under: [Clostridium] innocuum
Lineage: Bacteria; Bacillati; Bacillota; Clostridia; Eubacteriales; Clostridiaceae
Also listed under: 1 other name
Description: tRNA_Arg_CCG
Rfam family: tRNA
About the family: Transfer RNA (tRNA) molecules are approximately 80 nucleotides in length. Their secondary structure includes four short double-helical elements and three loops (D, anti-codon, and T loops). Further hydrogen bonds mediate the characteristic L-shaped molecular structure. tRNAs have two regions of fundamental functional importance: the anti-codon, which is responsible for specific mRNA codon recognition, and the 3' end, to which the tRNAs corresponding amino acid is attached (by aminoacyl-tRNA synthetases). tRNAs cope with the degeneracy of the genetic code in two manners: having more than one tRNA (with a specific anti-codon) for a particular amino acid; and 'wobble' base-pairing, i.e. permitting non-standard base-pairing at the 3rd anti-codon position.
Source: RNAcentral
GUGCCCGUAGCUCAAUUGGAUAGAGUAUCAGAUUCCGAUUCUGACGGUUGCAGGUUCGAUCCCUGUCGGGUGCG